UGCCAGCAGCCGCGGUAAUACGGAGGGUGCAAGCAUUAAUCGGAUUUACUUGGCGUAAAGGGUGCGUAGGCGGACCUUCAAGUCGGAUGUGAAAUCUAUAGGCUCAACUUAUAGCUUGCAUUCGAAACUGAUGGUCUUGAGUGGAUUAGAGGAAUGCGGAAUUCCAGGUGUAGCGGUGAAAUGCGUAGAUAUCUGGAGGAACACCAGUAGCGAAGGCGGCAUUCUGGGAUCAUACUGACGCUGAAGCACGAAGGCUAGGGGAGCAAACAGGAUUAGAUA
Molecule: ribosomal RNA, 279 nt
Filed under: uncultured bacterium
Lineage: Bacteria
Description: partial 16S ribosomal RNA
Rfam family: Bacterial small subunit ribosomal RNA
Source: RNAcentral